GCACAAGCAGUGGAGUAUGUGGUUUAAUUCGAAGCAACGCGAAGAACCUUACCAGGUCUUGACAUCCGAUGCAUAGCGCAGAGAUGCGUGAAGUCCUUCGGGACAUCGAGACAGGUGGUGCAUGGUUGUCGUCAGCUCGUGUCGUGAGAUGUUGGGUUAAGUCCCGCAACGAGCGCAUCCCUUAUGGUCAGUUACUACGCAAGAGGACUCUGGCCAGACUGCCGUUGACAAAACGGAGGAAG
This 242-nucleotide ribosomal RNA is filed under the name uncultured bacterium. Its description in RNAcentral is "partial 16S ribosomal RNA". It matches the Rfam family "Bacterial small subunit ribosomal RNA", at positions 923 to 1172 of the family's 1533-position model. The record is from RNAcentral.